AGUGAACGCUGGCGGUAGGCCUAACACAUGCAGGUCGAACGGCAGCACAGUAAGAGCUUGCUCUUACGGGUGGCGAGUGGCGGACGGGUGAGGAAUACAUCGGAAUCUACUUUUUCGUGGGGGAUAACGUAGGGAAACUUACGCUAAUACCGCAUACGACCUACGGGUGAAAGCAGGGGAUCUUCGGACCUUGCUCGAUUGAAUGAGCCGAUGUCGGAUUAGCUAGUUGGCGGGGUAAAGGCCCACCAAGGCGACGAUCCGUAGCUGGUCUGAGAGGAUGAUCAGCCACACUGGAACUGAGACACGGUCCAGACUCCUACGGGAGGCAGCAGUGGGGAAUAUUGGACAAUGGGCGCAAGCCUGAUCCAGCCAUACCGCGUGGGUGAAGAAGGCCUUCGGGUUGUAAAGCCCUUUUGUUGGGAAAGAAAAGCAGCAGGUUAAUACCCCGCUGUUCUGACGGUACCCAAAGAAUAAGCACCGGCUAACUUCGUG
Molecule: ribosomal RNA, 492 nt
Filed under: uncultured bacterium
Lineage: Bacteria
Description: partial 16S ribosomal RNA
Rfam family: Bacterial small subunit ribosomal RNA
Source: RNAcentral